UAGCACACUGUCCCUGGGAUGUCCCUGGGCAUCUCUUAGAGAUAAGGAGUUCUAUCGUUUUAAGGGUCAAGAAACUGGCCUAGUAACUUUUCCAGACCUACUCGCCAGGGGGGAGCAGAGUCAGGACGGACACCUGGGCCGGACGAACCUCCAGGCAGUAGAGAAAGGCAGUAAGGAGAGUGACCUGGAGCCCCGGGUCCCUCAUGGCCCCUCACGGAUGGUCUCCAGGGGACCCUUGUCGUCGGUCACGCAAGUUCUGAUCAUGUCAGUCACACACGUUCUGUCUGCAGAAGCGGGGGAUGCUGAGGGCGGCCGGGGAGCAGGUGUCCUUCCUGUAGGAGCACGGGGCGCUGCAGACCCGCGGGCUGAGGAGACCGCAAGCCGCAGCCCAGGCCCGGACUUUGUGCCUCCGGGAACCGGACGCUCCGGGGAGGCGGGAGCUGGAGAGCAGACCUCCACGUCUCUCCAAAGGCAGCUGCGCAGCAGGGAGCCAAGGAGAGGAAAGAGUCCAGAGGAAAAUGUCAGAACACAAGGGCCCGGUUCAGCAAACAAAAGGAAAAUGAAAGGAGAGGGCCAGAGCCAGCGAGCUCAGCUGCCGGGAGACUCGCACCUCAGACCCCGUCUCCGGCCACAGUCCGGGUUCCGGUGCUGACGGCGGGGGACGUGGACAGAGAGCGUUUCCACCGUCACGGAGGGUCUCACGGGAAAGCGCUCCGUCCCUCUGCCCCCACCCCUGCAGAGAAGAGGAGAGGAGAGAAAUGCAUCUUGCACUAAAAUGAACCCGGUUUCCCCCAAGAACGAACCCGGCCUGCACCUUGAUCUUGGACGUCCAGCUCCCAGAACUGUGAGAAAUUAGUGUCUGUGGUUUAAAACAAGAACUUAGCAAGGGUUGUGUUCAAUGUCAACAUCGUUUUUAAAAUUU
Molecule: long non-coding RNA, 922 nt
Organism: Suricata suricatta (meerkat)
Lineage: Eukaryota; Metazoa; Chordata; Mammalia; Carnivora; Herpestidae
Exons: 5
Source: RefSeq, a predicted model, not a curated record